This 544-nucleotide ribosomal RNA is filed under the name Aquiflexum sp. Its description in RNAcentral is "bacterial SSU rRNA". It matches the Rfam family "Bacterial small subunit ribosomal RNA", at positions 81 to 625 of the family's 1533-position model. The record is from RNAcentral. Lineage: Bacteria; Pseudomonadati; Bacteroidota; Cytophagia; Cytophagales; Cyclobacteriaceae.
UACGACCCCUAGAGCGGCGCACGGGUGCGUAACGCGUAUGCAACCUACCCUUUACCGGGGGAUAGCCCGGGGAAACCCGGAUUAAUACCCCAUAGAAUAACAUGAUGGCAUCAUUGAGUUAUUAAAGAUUUAUCGGUGAAGGAUGGGCAUGCGUAGGAUUAGUUAGUUGGCGGGGUAACGGCCCACCAAGACGAUGAUCCUUAGGGGUUCUGAGAGGAAGGUCCCCCACACUGGCACUGAGAUACGGGCCAGACUCCUACGGGAGGCAGCAGUAGGGAAUAUUGGGCAAUGGGCGGGAGCCUGACCCAGCCAUGCCGCGUGCAGGAAGAAGGCGUUAUGCGUUGUAAACUGCUUUUAUACGGGAAGAAAAGGCCCAUGCGUGGGAUAUUGCCGGUACCGUAUGAAUAAGCACCGGCUAACUCCGUGCCAGCAGCCGCGGUAAUACGGAGGGUGCAAGCGUUGUCCGGAUUUAUUGGGUUUAAAGGGUGCGUAGGCGGCCCGUUAAGUCAGCGGUGAAAGUCUGUGGCUCAACCAUAGAAGCGCC